RNAcentral lists this ribosomal RNA (497 nucleotides) under uncultured bacterium. RNAcentral describes it as "partial 16S ribosomal RNA". It matches the Rfam family "Bacterial small subunit ribosomal RNA", at positions 28 to 507 of the family's 1533-position model. The record is from RNAcentral.
GAUGAACGCUGGCGGCGUGCCUAAUACAUGCAAGUCGAGCGAACAGAUGAGGAGCUUGCUCCUCUGACGUUAGCGGCGGACGGGUGAGUAACACGUGGAUAACCUACCUAUCAGACUGGGAUAACUUCGGGAAACCGGCGCUAAUACCGGAUAAUAUAUUGAACCGCAUGGUUCAAUAGUGAAAGACGGUUUUGCUGUCCCUUAUAGAUGGAUCCGCGCCGCAUUAGCUAGUUGGUAAGGUAACGGCUUACCAAGGCAACGAUGCGUAGCCGACCUGAGAGGGUGAUCGGCCACACUGGAACUGAGACACGGUCCAGACUCCUACGGGAGGCAGCAGUAGGGAAUCUUCCGCAAUGGGCGAAAGCCUGACGGAGCAACGCCGCGUGAGUGAUGAAGGUCUUCGGAUCGUAAAACUCUGUUAUUAGGGAAGAACAAAUGUGUAAGUAACUAUGCACGUCUUGACGGUACCUAAUCAGAAAGCCACGGCUAACUACGUG